Molecule: unclassified non-coding RNA, 211 nt
Filed under: Glomeraceae sp.
Lineage: Eukaryota; Fungi; Glomeromycota; Glomeromycetes; Glomerales; Glomeraceae
Description: partial contains 5.8S ribosomal RNA and internal transcribed spacer 2
Rfam family: 5.8S ribosomal RNA (bases 1-71)
Source: RNAcentral
GUGAAUCAUCAAAUUUUUGAACGCAAAUUGCACUCUCUGGUAUUCCGGAGAGUAUGCCUGUUUGAGGGUCAGUUUAAAUAAAAAUCGGUGUGGUUGCUGCCUUUCGUGGUGACGCACCGGGUUAUGUUCGACUUGCCUUCGGUUAAGUGACCUUAAAUUUUGUCUGAUUUUUUUUGCGAGUAUUUAAAAGAUUUUACGUACGUUUGUGGUA